AGGAUUUCUACUCUGGAGGCCCUAUUUCUAGUCUGAAAGCUCUACAAGUCAAAGGGCAGAAAGGAAUCUUUCCUGUAAACAUCCGCUAGCCACUCCCGGAAAAGUGUAACAUCGUGGACCAUGGCCUUCAAAUGAUUGCCAAAUCUCAGGUUUUCCAGUUCCCUAGUUCGCAGAUUUUAUUCUAUGAGACAUGCUCCACCUGGGGAUCUCUGCAGCUGGCGGUCUAUGUGCCAGGCUCUAAGAACGCCAUGCAGCAGCAAAGACAUUCUCUUGUUGACUGUCUACAUUAUUUCUCUAGGACGUGAGUGGAGAUCCAAAGAGAAGUGGACCAGUAAAACUUUACACCAUAUUAUAUUGACAUAAUAAAAUUUAUUUUGUACAAUAUGCUAUUAAUUAUAUCACUUACCUACAUACCUCAUGCUCUUAUUCUUACAUAAGAGAAAAUUGCACUAUAUAUUCACAAAGUUAUCAUCACUUGUUCAAAAUUACUUGUUUCCCCCUUUUCCUUCCCGCUUACAAACUCCAUAAAUGACUCCUGCCCCAGCUUUGGUGCCCUAAGAAAUGUCUUCAGACUAUCUGCUGGUACUUGGCCUUCACCGGUCCUUGGCUGGGCUCUGAUUUUACAGUUUUGCUGUGACACCCUAACUCCCACCUCUGGCCUUUCCUAUGAUGUUGACAUUUUAGACUGAGCUUUUUAUGCAGAAUGGCUUGGGAUGAGAGGAAGUCCAGUGAACUGCUUGCCUGUUUUGGCCCUUGGGCCCCAGGCACCAGAUGGCAAACCUGCCCUCCCUGGCCCUGUCCACCUCGUGGAUUUUCUUCAGCUCUCUGUUAAGAAGCUUGUGGCAUUUAAUGGAAGACUUUCAGGCUUGGACUCCAUCUCCCAGUGGCCCCAGAAAGGCCUUCAGCACCUAGUGAGGAAAUAUCCAAGAUCCCACGGUAUUUUCUGUGCCACACCCUACCUCCUUCUAUGGCCCUAUGUUCGCCAGACGGAGAACCCAUCCACCCCGGCCUGGGAUACUCCUCUUGGGAAAAUUCACCAGCAGCAUCUUGAGUUUUCUUUCUCCUACAGGACUCACAAAAUUCCAGGCUGCAAGGAAGAAUCAUGUAGGGUUGAUGACAUGAUGGGAAUCCGUUUUUCUCUGCCCAAUAUCACUCUGCUCCCUUCUUUUGGUAGUGGCACUCCUAUUCUUUAGGGAACUGUUCCUUCGUUAUUUCUCUGUAUGGUUCUGGAAUAAGAACCACUCCUAAUGCCCUACCCAAUACCCAAGCCCCACAUGCAGAGCAGUCACCCAGCCUGGCCACUUAGAGUCAUUCCCCGUGAUUCUUUCUCUUCCAUCACUAAUAAUGGAGAUGUCAGAUGUGAUCCCAGAAUUCCUAGGAACCAUGUCCCCCAGAGUAUGAAGAAGAUUGAGAACAUGAACCUUAUAAGCAGAAAAAUAUCUUGAUUUUUCUUUGGGGACUCCCCCUUUAUAAUGAAUGCAGUCUUGGUUCAAUUGUUGGUUAAGAUUCCAACACUCACUUGCCCAAGAUAUGGGCAUAUGAUCCAAUAGAGGCCAAUUAGACUCUCUCCCAAGAGGCUUCCCUAGUGGCUCAGAUGGUAAAGAGUCUGCCUGCAAUGCGGGGGACCCAGGUUUGAUCCCUGGGCCAGGAAGAUCCCCUGGAGAAAGGAAUGGCAAUCCACCCCAGUUUUCCCGCCUAGGGAAUCCCCAUGGACAGAGGAGCCUGGCUAGCUGCAGUCCAUGGUGUCACAAAGAGUUGGACACAACUGAGUGACUAACAUUAGACUCUCUCCCAUGAAAUUUGAAUCUUGAGCUGUGUGACACAAGAAUUUAAAGUUUGGAGCUGAGUCAUCCUAGCAGAAAUACCCUGGAGAGACUGUCCAUUAGUUCCUAGAUCUAGAUCUCAAUUUGCACUGCUUCCUGUCUCCCAAAGACCCAAUUGUUCAACUUUUUCUUUAUUUCUGAGUUAUUUUAUAAUUUUUUAAUAAAUUUCCUUUUUACUUA
This is a long non-coding RNA of Bubalus bubalis (water buffalo), 2003 nucleotides long. RefSeq lists it as uncharacterized. The transcript is spliced from 2 exons. The record is from RefSeq and is a predicted model, not a curated record. Lineage: Eukaryota; Metazoa; Chordata; Mammalia; Artiodactyla; Bovidae.